Molecule: ribosomal RNA, 530 nt
Filed under: uncultured bacterium
Lineage: Bacteria
Description: bacterial SSU rRNA
Rfam family: Bacterial small subunit ribosomal RNA
Source: RNAcentral
GUCCUAUCAGCUUGUUGGUAGGGUAACGGCCUACCAAGGACUUUGACGGGUAGCUGGUCUGAGAGGACGAUCAGCCACACUGGCACUGCGACACGGGCCAGACUCCUACGGGAGGCAGCAGUAAGGAAUAUUGCGCAAUGGGGCGAAAGCCUGACGCAGCGACGCCGCGUGGGGGAUGAAGGUCUUCGGAUUGUAAACCCCUUUCGGGAGGGAAGAUGGAGCGAGCAAUCGUUCGGACGGUACCUCCAGAAGCAGCCACGGCCAACUUCGUGCCAGCAGCCGCGGUAAUACGAAGGUGGCAAGCGUUGUUCGGAUUCACUGGGCGUACAGGGUGUGUAGGCGGUUUGGUAAGCCUUCUGUUAAAGCUUCGGGCCCAACCCGGAAAGCGCAGAGGGUACUGCCAGGCUAGAGGGUGGGAGAGGAGCGCGGAAUUCCCGGUGUAGCGGUGAAAUGCGUAGAGAUCGGGAGGAAGGCCGGUGGCGAAGGCGGCGCUCUGGAACAUACCUGACGCUGAGACACGAAAGCGUGGG